RNAcentral lists this unclassified non-coding RNA (261 nucleotides) under Hevea brasiliensis (rubber tree). The record is from RNAcentral. Lineage: Eukaryota; Viridiplantae; Streptophyta; Magnoliopsida; Malpighiales; Euphorbiaceae.
GAAUUAAGGAUAUUCUUCUUUGUUACAUUGCUUUCAUCAAGACGCCUUAGGUGACUAGAAAUUAGUGUAUGCAUGCAUGCGUGUGAUGUUUUUUAAUUUGAUGAGUUCCUUUGCUUACUUUGCCUUUUUAUUCCAUUUUCCAUUUUUGUGAUUCAUGGUUUUGUUUCUGCUUUGAGAUUGAGAUGUCUCAUAUAUAUAUAUUUUGAAGUUUUUCUUUUUUACCCCUUCCUUAUUAUAAUGAGUUUGCACUUUGGAUCGAUU